AGCAAUACUUAGUGGCGAACGGGUGAGUAUAAUAUGGGAAUCUGCCCUUUGGUUUGGAAUAACACGAGGAAACUUGUGCUAAUACUGAAUAAGCCUUUACAGGGAAAGCUUUAUGCGCCGAUGGAUGAGCCCGUACUUGAUUAGCUAGUUGGUAAGGUAAAAGCUUACCAAGGCUACGAUCAAUAGCUGAUCUGAGAGGAUGAUCAGCCACAUUGGGACUGAGACACGGCCCAAACUCCUACGGGAGGCAGCAGUGGGGAAUCUUGCACAAUGGGGGAAACCCUGAUGCAGCGAUGCCGCGUGAGUGAAGAAGGCCCUUGGGUUGUAAAGCUCUUUCGUCGGGGAAGAAAAUGACUGUACCCGAAUAAGAAGGUCCGGCUAACUUCGUGCCAGCAGCCGCGGUAAUACGAAGGGACCUAGCGUAGUUCGGAAUUACUGGGCUUAAAGAGCACGUAGGUGGUUAAAAUAGUUGGUGGUGAAAUCCCAAGGCUCAACCUUGGAACUGCCACCAAAACUUUUUAACUUGAGUAUGAUAGAGGUAAGCGGAAUUUCUAGUGUAGAGGUGAAAUUCGUAGAUAUUAGAAAGAACACCAAUUGCGAAGGCAGCUUUCUGGAUCAUUACUGACACUGAGGUGCGAAA
RNAcentral lists this ribosomal RNA (640 nucleotides) under uncultured Alphaproteobacteria bacterium. RNAcentral's name for it is "bacterial SSU rRNA". It matches the Rfam family "Bacterial small subunit ribosomal RNA", at positions 84 to 758 of the family's 1533-position model. Lineage: Bacteria; Pseudomonadati; Pseudomonadota; Alphaproteobacteria. The record is from RNAcentral.